Long non-coding RNA from Populus trichocarpa (black cottonwood), 663 nucleotides. RefSeq lists it as uncharacterized. Lineage: Eukaryota; Viridiplantae; Streptophyta; Magnoliopsida; Malpighiales; Salicaceae. The record is from RefSeq and is a predicted model, not a curated record. The transcript has 2 exons.
UGGAAAGAAUCUUUCUUUGAUUUAAUUAUGCAAUUUCAAAUCAAUCCAUCUGGGCGAAAUAAGUCGAAACCAAAUAGUAUUAUUGCUCACUUGGCUCUCAUCAGCAACAUAUCCAUCAGUUGAUCCAAGGGCCACCAUUGAAGAAGUUGAUUUCAUAUAGAAAAAGUGGAAGCGGAAACUCAGAGCGGACGGGACGUGCUUACGGAGAAGAAUUUAGAAGGAUCUGGAAGCCAGGGCUCGACAGCGGCGGCAGCAUGGAAGAUCACGUCGCAGCCGAAGAUGGCAUCCAGGAGUGACCGAUAGUCGGUAACGUCACCAUAGGCGAGUUCAAAGUUCUCCCCCGUAGAGGGCGAAGGGAGGCCGGACAAGUCGCUGGUUCGGCGGACUAAGGCCCGGACGGAGUGGCCCUGUUUAAGGAGGGUGUGGCACAGUACCCCGCCUACGAAACCAGAUGCACCGGUCACAACUAUCUUCUUCAUUCUCAACGACAACUUAUGGAGAGAAAAUCUGACCAGAUACGAGUGUACUUGCAGUGAUGUUUCUGUUAAGACUUUUUGCCCUGAUUUGUAGAUCGGACUUGAUUGGCCAGCAUUAUUGAGUUGACCCUUCUUAUGUACCCUUCCAUCGUCAAUAAUGAAGAGGCCUUCUUUUGUUCUAAUAUAA